Molecule: non-coding RNA, 702 nt
Organism: Nicotiana tabacum (common tobacco)
Lineage: Eukaryota; Viridiplantae; Streptophyta; Magnoliopsida; Solanales; Solanaceae
Source: RefSeq, a predicted model, not a curated record
UGUAUAAAUUUUACUGAUUUUGAUAUUUUUCUGUUGACUUAAUUUUAUAGGCUUGGUUUGAAGAAGCUUGCGCAGACUAAGAAAGAAAAGAAGGCUGCAAAAGAUCCUAAGAAAUCUCCAAGUGCCUUCUAUGGAGGAGUUCAGGAAGCAGUACAAAGAGAAGCAUCCUAACAACAAAUCUGUUCCCGCUGUGAGAAAGCUCCUUAUCAAGCAAAAGCAGAGAAAAGGAAGGUUGAGUACUAAAAGAGCAUGAGGGCUUAUAACAACAAACAAGCUGGUGUUUCAAAUGAAGAGGAGGAAUCUAACAGGUCAAGGUCUGAGGUUAACGAUGAGGACGAUGACGAAGAGGGAAGUGUUAAUAUUUUGCUAUAUUGUCGAUAGAAAUUUUUAUUUUGACAGAUACACGUUAAAUACUCUUACUAUAAUAAUUAUUUUAAUCCAGUGCUUGCUUGUUUAUUUGACAGGAGGAAGAUGAUGAUUAGACAUAUAUUGGCAGAUGAUAUGAAGAAAAAGGCACCAGAAUUUAGUGUCGGAAGAAAUAGCAUAUGACAUCUAUUAGCCUAUCCCUUAAUAAAUAGUAGUUGCCUUUUUUGUUUUUUGUUUUAAUGGGCUUAGUUGGGAAAGACCAAAAGAAAUUAGAUGAGCUCAAGUUGUUCAUGUACUCUAUUUUCUUGGUGCUUAAUGAUAAUGAUAAUUCAACUA